RNAcentral lists this ribosomal RNA (436 nucleotides) under uncultured bacterium. RNAcentral's name for it is "bacterial SSU rRNA". It matches the Rfam family "Bacterial small subunit ribosomal RNA", at positions 34 to 465 of the family's 1533-position model. The record is from RNAcentral.
GAAUUCACUAGUGAUUCAGGCCUAACACAUGCAAGUCGAACGGCAGCACGGAGCUUGCUCUGGUGGCGAGUGGCGAACGGGUGAGUAAUAUAUCGGAACGUACCCUGGAGUGGGGGAUAACGUAGCGAAAGUUACGCUAAUACCGCAUACGAUCUAAGGAUGAAAGUGGGGGAUCGCAAGACCUCAUGCUCGUGGAGCGGCCGAUAUCUGAUUAGCUAGUUGGUAGGGUAAAAGCCUACCAAGGCAUCGAUCAGUAGCUGGUCUGAGAGGACGACCAGCCACACUGGAACUGAGACACGGUCCAGACUCCUACGGGAGGCAGCAGUGGGGAAUUUUGGACAAUGGGCGAAAGCCUGAUCCAGCAAAGCCGCGUGAGUGAAGAAGGCCUUCGGGUUGUAAUCUAAUGGUCAGGGAAGAAACGGUGAGGGCUAAUAUC